UUAAGUUCAGCGGGUAGUCCUACCUGAUUUGAGAUCAAACGUUCAAAAAGCUGUCUUCGCUGAGGAGAGACAUUUGUGAGCCCCAGCGAACCUCCAUUGCUGAAGGUUAUCUGGUGGAAAACCGCAAGCGUAGAUAGUUAUCACACCUGCGACGCCACCAAACACUGGCAAGCUGAUCCAUUUUAGAGGAGCUGACCAUA
This 200-nucleotide unclassified non-coding RNA is filed under the name Thelephoraceae sp. RNAcentral's name for it is "partial internal transcribed spacer 2". Lineage: Eukaryota; Fungi; Basidiomycota; Agaricomycetes; Thelephorales; Thelephoraceae. The record is from RNAcentral.